This 433-nucleotide ribosomal RNA is filed under the name uncultured bacterium. RNAcentral describes it as "partial 16S ribosomal RNA". It matches the Rfam family "Bacterial small subunit ribosomal RNA", at positions 29 to 507 of the family's 1533-position model. The record is from RNAcentral.
AACGAACGCUGGCGGCAUGCCUAACGCAUGCAAGUCGAACGAGACCUUCGGGUCUAGUGGCGCACGGGUGCGUAACGCGUGGGAACCUGCCCUUAGGUUCGGAAUAACUCCCCGAAAGGGGUGCUAAUACCGGAUAAUGUCUUCGGACCAAAGAUUUAUCGCCUUUGGAUGGGCCCGCGUUGGAUUAGCUAGUUGGUAGGGUAAAAGCCUACCAAGGCGACGAUCCAUAGCUGGUCUGAGAGGAUGAUCAGCCACACUGGGACUGAGACACGGCCCAGACUCCUACGGGAGGCAGCAGUGGGGAAUAUUGGACAAUGGGCGAAAGCCUGAUCCAGCAAUGCCGCGUGAGUGGUGAAGGCCUUAGGGUUGUAAAGCUCUUUUACCCGGGAUGAUAAUGACAGUACCGGGAGAAUAAGCUCCGGCUAACUCCGUG